Molecule: ribosomal RNA, 539 nt
Filed under: Sticta riparia
Lineage: Eukaryota; Fungi; Ascomycota; Lecanoromycetes; Peltigerales; Lobariaceae
Description: partial 28S ribosomal RNA
Rfam family: Eukaryotic large subunit ribosomal RNA
Source: RNAcentral
GAAGCGGCAACAGCUCAAAUUUGAAAUCUGGCCUCUUCGGGGUCCGAGUUGUAAUUUGUAGAGGGUGUUUCGGGCGCGAUGCCGGUCUAAGUUCCUUGGAACAGGACGUCGCAGAGGGUGAGAAUCCCGUAUGCGACCGGCGAUCAAGUCUGUGUGAAACCCCUUCGACGAGUCGAGUUGUUUGGGAAUGCAGCUCAAAAUGGGUGGUAAAUUUCAUCUAAAGCUAAAUAUUGGCCAGAGACCGAUAGCGGACAAGUAGAGUGAUCGAAAGAUGAAAAGCACUUUGGAAAGAGAGUCAAACAGUACGUGAAAUUGUUGAAAGGGAAGCGCUUGCAAUCAGACCGGUCCGGAGGCGAUCAGCCGUCUGCUCGUUCAGCGGUGCACUCGCCUGCGAUCCGGCCAGCAUCGGUUUGGGCGGUGGGAUAAAAGUCCCGGGAAUGUAGCUUCUCUUGGGGAGUCUUAUAGCCCGGGUCGCAAUGCCGCCUGCCUGGACCGAGGACCGCGCUUCGGCUAGGAUGCUGGCGUAAUGGUUGCAAGCG